UGGAGAAGUACAGGAGCUGCUAUUAACACACUUUCCAAAAAGUUGCCCAUGUCCUAUGGGUUGGAGAGGAGGCAGCAGCCCAAGCCGUGUAGCAGGGGGGGUUCUCUGUAAAAAGAAACAAUCUAAUGGCUUUAAAUUAUCCCUUUUGGGCAGAAGGGAGUGAAUGGCAUGUCUCAGUGGAAAUUUCAGUACUGAUUUUAGCCCAGACACUCUUACACAGCCACUGUCAUGGGGUAUGUCCAUUGGCACCAGAACAGUAAAUUUUAGGAUGCUUUCAUGAUCAGCACCCUCACAGGUUCUGGGGCUGCUGGCAGGGCAGCCAAAGCAGCCCCCUUGUCCUGAUAAGGUGGGUUUAUGCCCAUGUGUCCAGAGGAAAGGCUUUUGAGCUUUGCCAGAUGCAAAGAAGGUGUCAGGUUUAUAGCUGUGAAAUCUUUCCAGUGAACCAAGGAAGUUUCCUAAACACUAAAAUAAUAUUUUAUUUCUUUUUUGAGUCCUUGGGAAUUGAUAUUUUCUCUCUUUUUCUCUGAGUGGAAAUGUCAUCUAUUAGAAAAAUAAGACUGCCACAAGCCCACUUCCCCUCCAUUAGAUGCCAGCAAUUGUGUGCCUCUCAUUACAUGUCAGACAUGUACAUCAGGAAACUGGAGCUGUAAAGCAAAAGUUGGGAACAAGUAUCUGUAUUGGUUGCUCUAGAUUCUGCCUGGUUCCUGAAGGAAAAUAUCAUCUUGAGGCUGCAUGCACAGCUCCCUUCCCUGGACUCAUGUCAGCCUGAGCAAACUGUGUGUGUGUUAUCCCUGGUCUGCUGGAUUGAAGACUUCCUCCAUGCAGCCUGGAAGAGAAGAAACAAUUGUGAUAUGUCAUGGCCUGUGUAAAAUCAAAGAGAAAAAAGGAUACAUAACUCCAAACUUAAUUCCAGCUUCUGUUAAAUCAGAAUGGCCCCACUGUGUGAUUACUUGAUAUUUGACUACAGUGCUUUAACAUAACUUCCCAGUGUCAUCUGUUACAGUUCUAACACUCAGGCAAUUUUUGAACAAUAGUGAUGGGGUGUGAUUUGGCAGUGACAACCUCAGGAAGCCAUAUAUUUCCCCUUGACACAGUAUUAUCUAAUAUACUAGCUAUCUCAGGUUACAGCAGCUCUGAAACCCAACAGAG
This 1149-nucleotide long non-coding RNA is filed under the name Cyanistes caeruleus (blue tit). Its description in RNAcentral is "lncRNA (ENSCCEG00000010896.1)". Lineage: Eukaryota; Metazoa; Chordata; Aves; Passeriformes; Paridae. The record is from RNAcentral.